This 93-nucleotide microRNA precursor is filed under the name Canis lupus familiaris (dog). RNAcentral describes it as "mir-8799 microRNA precursor family". It matches the Rfam family "mir-8799 microRNA precursor family". Lineage: Eukaryota; Metazoa; Chordata; Mammalia; Carnivora; Canidae. The record is from Rfam by way of RNAcentral. RNAcentral also lists the same sequence under 1 other name.
AGGGGGAGCACUUGAUCCUGGGCUUUGUCCCCUGGCGCCCUGGGCCCGGGGCCUGCACUGCUAGAAUCGCACCCCCGGACCACGCAGCCCCCC